RNAcentral lists this ribosomal RNA (323 nucleotides) under uncultured Actinomycetes bacterium. RNAcentral's name for it is "bacterial SSU rRNA". It matches the Rfam family "Bacterial small subunit ribosomal RNA", at positions 28 to 351 of the family's 1533-position model. Lineage: Bacteria; Bacillati; Actinomycetota; Actinomycetes. The record is from RNAcentral.
GACGAACGCUGGCGGCGUGCUUAACACAUGCAAGUCGAACGGAAAGGUCUCUUCGGAGACACUCGAGUGGCGAACGGGUGAGUAACACGUGGGUGAUCUGCCCUGCACUUCGGGAUAAGCCUGGGAAACUGGGUCUAAUACCGGAUAGGACCACGAGAUGCAUGUCUUGUGGUGGAAAGCGAUUUAGCGGUGUGGGAUGGGCCCGCGGCCUAUCAGCUUGUUGGUGGGGUCAUGGCCUACCAAGGCUGCGACGGGUAGCCGGCCUGAGAGGGUGUCCGGCCACACUGGGACUGAGAUACGGCCCAGACACCUACGGGUGGCAG